UGCAGAAUCCCGUGAACCAUCGAGUUUUUGAACGCAAGUUGCGCCCGAAGCCACUCGGCCGAGGGCACGUCUGCCUGGGCGUCACGU
Molecule: ribosomal RNA, 87 nt
Filed under: Ceratophyllum sp. US:3560551
Lineage: Eukaryota; Viridiplantae; Streptophyta; Magnoliopsida; Ceratophyllales; Ceratophyllaceae
Description: partial 5.8S ribosomal RNA
Rfam family: 5.8S ribosomal RNA
About the family: 5.8S ribosomal RNA (5.8S rRNA) is a component of the large subunit of the eukaryotic ribosome. It is transcribed by RNA polymerase I as part of the 45S precursor that also contains 18S and 28S rRNA. Functionally, it is thought that 5.8S rRNA may be involved in ribosome translocation.
Source: RNAcentral